GGGUGUUGCAAUGGGCCCAACUAGGUGGUGAAGGAGUUCAACUCCCUUGGCUUCUUAUUCUUGAGGCGCGGGUGGAAGUCAUUCGCCCUCGCCUAAGGCCCGUGGGACGAGCACGUCCCCCACUUCAAAUUUGACGGGGCCGCCACGCUUGGGCUGCUGCAUGGAGGACAAUAGUGGCGGCAGCAGCGGCUCCUCCAGUACUGAUGACAGCGGCAACAACCCCUUCUCCGAUGGCGGCGGGGGUGACAGUGACUCUGACGGCUCCCUGGGCACCCGCAUGAAGGAGGAGGUGGAUUCUGACUGAGCGCGCGCGCCACCGACGCGGGAGUCUCCAGCCUGGGUGCUUCGGGGUCCCGUCCUUCUUUUCUUACGCCAUACUCCUUUCUUGAAAUGCAACACACUGGUCCCGUGGGGCGUGUAAGAAGGAUUAUGUACCCCAAACCAUGAAUAGGAGGCUGUUUUGAUUCAAAAUGAACUUCUCCCUCGUAUCUCCUGCUAAUUUUGGAUCCAGCCCCUGAGCGCGG
Molecule: long non-coding RNA, 524 nt
Filed under: Hordeum vulgare
Lineage: Eukaryota; Viridiplantae; Streptophyta; Magnoliopsida; Poales; Poaceae
Description: long non-coding RNA (HVUL_LNC015606)
Source: RNAcentral